Molecule: ribosomal RNA, 258 nt
Filed under: uncultured bacterium
Lineage: Bacteria
Description: partial 16S ribosomal RNA
Rfam family: Bacterial small subunit ribosomal RNA
Source: RNAcentral
UACGUAGGAGACGAGCGUUGUCCGGAGUUACUGGGCGUAAAGGGUGCGCAGGUGGCGGCGCGCGUGGGGGGUGAAAUCGCCCGGCUUAACUGGGCGGGGGCCUUCCAGACGGCGUGGCUUGAGCAGCGGAGGGGGACGUGGAAUUCCGGGUGGAGCGGUGAAAUGCGUAGAGAUCCGGAGGAACACCGACGGCGUAGGCAGCGCCCUGGCUGUGAAUAAAGCUGACACUGAGGCACGAAAGCUGGGGGAGCAAACAGG